CUCGUAGGUGGCCAACUAAGUCAGACGUGAAAUCCCUCGGCUUAACCGGGGAACUGCGUCUGAUACUGGAUGGCUCGAGUUUGGGAGAGGGAUGCGGAAUUCCAGGUGUAGCGGUGAAAUGCGUAGAUAUCUGGAGGAACACCGGUGGCGAAGGCGGCAUCCUGGACCAACACUGACACUGAGGAGCGAAAGCCAGGGGAGCAAACG
RNAcentral lists this ribosomal RNA (207 nucleotides) under uncultured bacterium. RNAcentral describes it as "partial 16S ribosomal RNA". It matches the Rfam family "Bacterial small subunit ribosomal RNA", at positions 568 to 774 of the family's 1533-position model. The record is from RNAcentral.